RNAcentral lists this unclassified non-coding RNA (85 nucleotides) under Mus musculus (house mouse). Its description in RNAcentral is "partial derived from hnRNA or mRNA fragment, or novel small non-messenger RNA without known sequence-or structural motifs". The record is from RNAcentral. Lineage: Eukaryota; Metazoa; Chordata; Mammalia; Rodentia; Muridae.
GAAAACUAUGACUGCUUGUGGAUAUAUGGACAUUUCCCAGGCACAAAAGGAAGUAAAUGAAAAGACAGAAAUGUAAGAAAAGGCU